UACGUAGGGUGCGAGCGUUGUCCGGAAUUAUUGGGCGUAAAGCGCACGUAGGCGGACCGUUAAGUCGGGGGUGAAAUCCUGGAGCUCAACUCCAGAACUGCCUUCAAUACUGGCGAUCUAGAGUCCGGAAGAGGUGAGUGGAACUCCUAGUGUAGAGGUGGAAUUCGUAGAUAUUGGGAGGAACACCAGUGGCGAAGGCGGCGACCUGGGUCGAUACUGACGCUGAGGUGCGAAAGCGUGGGGAGCAAACAGG
Molecule: ribosomal RNA, 253 nt
Filed under: uncultured bacterium
Lineage: Bacteria
Description: partial 16S ribosomal RNA
Rfam family: Bacterial small subunit ribosomal RNA
Source: RNAcentral